RNAcentral lists this ribosomal RNA (253 nucleotides) under uncultured bacterium. Its description in RNAcentral is "partial 16S ribosomal RNA". It matches the Rfam family "Bacterial small subunit ribosomal RNA", at positions 524 to 776 of the family's 1533-position model. The record is from RNAcentral.
UACAGAGACGGCAAGCGUUGCUCGGAUUCAUUGGGCGUAAAGGGUGCGUAGGCGGUCGGGUAAGUCUGAUGUGAAAACUCACAGCCUAACUGUGACUGGUCAUUGGAAACUGCCCGGCUCGAGGACUGGAGGGGAGACUGGAAUAGCUGGUGUAGCGGUGAAAUGCGUAGAGAUCAGCUAGAACACCGGUGGCGAAGGCGGGUCUCUGGACAGUUCCUGACGCUGAGGAACGAAAGCCAGGGGAGCAAACGGG